CGUAGGGUGCGAGCGUUAAUCGGAAUUACUGGGCGUAAAGGGUGCGCAGGCGGUUAUGAGAGACAGGCGUGAAAUCCCCGGGCUUAACCUGGGAACUGCGCUUGUGACUACAUGACUCGAGUACGGCAGAGGGGGGUGGAAUUCCACGUGUAGCAGUGAAAUGCGUAGAGAUGUGGAGGAACACCGAUGGCGAAGGCAGCCCCCUGGGCCAGUACUGACGCUCAUGCACGAAAGCGUGGGGAGCAAACAGGAUUAGAUACCCUGGUAGUCCACGCCCUAAACGAUGUCAACUAGUUGUUGGUAGGGUAAAACCUAUUAGUAACGUAGCUAACGCGUGAAGUUGACCGCCUGGGGAGUACGGCCGCAAGGUUA
Molecule: ribosomal RNA, 372 nt
Filed under: uncultured organism
Description: bacterial SSU rRNA
Rfam family: Bacterial small subunit ribosomal RNA
Source: RNAcentral